This 460-nucleotide ribosomal RNA is filed under the name uncultured bacterium. RNAcentral describes it as "partial 16S ribosomal RNA". It matches the Rfam family "Bacterial small subunit ribosomal RNA", at positions 338 to 795 of the family's 1533-position model. The record is from RNAcentral.
CCUACGGGAGACAGCAGUGAGGAAUAUUGGUCAAUGGGCGCGAGCCUGAACCAGCCAAGUAGCGUGAAGGAUGACUGCCCUACGGGUUGUAAACUUCUUUUGUCGAGGAAUAAAGUGAGUCACGUGUGCCUCUUUGUGUGUACUUGAUGAAUAAGCAUCGGCUAACUCCGUGCCAGCAGCCGCGGUAAUACGGCGGAUCCGAGCGUUAUCCGGAUUUAUUGGGUUUAAAGGGUGCGUAGACGGGAUGUCAAGUCAGGUGUGAAAGUUUGGGGCUCAAACGCAAAAUUGCAGUUGAAACUGGCAGCCUUGAGUGCAGGAGAGGUAUGCGGAAUGCGUGGUGUAGCGGUGAAAUGCAUAGAUAUCACGAAGAACUCCGAUUGCGAAGGCAGCUUACUAACGCGCAACUGACAUUGAUGCACGAAAGCGUGGGUAUCAAACAGGAUUAGAUACCCGGGUAGUC